AUUUGAGUGGAAAUGUGAUUGGAGUAGAAGGCAUCAGGGAGGGAGCCUGAGCUGAGACCACAUCUUGAAAACACAGAAUUGAGGGAGCAGAUGGAAGAAAGAAAGUCAGCAGGCUUGGAGGAUGAUGAUAACCCCAAGAAGAUUAAGGUGCUGGUGGAGGAGGUGGUUGGCAAAGGAGGUGAGAAUAAGGACAAGUUGAGUUCAGAGAAAUCAAGGGACACUGAGGAAUGAGUACAGCAUCCUCCACUCCUCAAGGAGCAACCUAAGCUGAGCAGUGAGGACUGGGAGAGUAACUUACUCCACAGGGAACCUGUGCAACAGCCAGGGACACCCAAGGAUGGAUCAGGUUUGGUUUCUCCUGCUGGGGAGCACCAAUUCCAAGAGGAGGAGGGUGGCACCCCCGAGGCUCUUCGCCAGACCCCCCGGCCUUGACCUCAGUGCUGCCCUCACAGUGGAC
This 457-nucleotide long non-coding RNA is filed under the name Equus asinus (donkey). RNAcentral describes it as "lncRNA (ENSEASG00005030905.1)". The record is from RNAcentral. Lineage: Eukaryota; Metazoa; Chordata; Mammalia; Perissodactyla; Equidae.